This 427-nucleotide long non-coding RNA is filed under the name Nicotiana benthamiana. RNAcentral's name for it is "long non-coding RNA (NBEN_LNC042244)". The record is from RNAcentral. Lineage: Eukaryota; Viridiplantae; Streptophyta; Magnoliopsida; Solanales; Solanaceae.
AAUUUUACAUUUAAUACUUAAUUAAAGUUGAGCGCCUUUAACAUAAUACUUCAAAUUAUUCUAAUAAAACUAAAACAUUAAGAAUAAUACGUCUAAUAAAUUUAAAAUUGCACAAAUUGUCUCAAAUUAACUUAAAAUUUUAAAUACGAAUAUCUGGAGAACGCACAAGACAACUCUUUAUAUGCCUCCUUAAGCAGCUUGUGCCUUCCAGUUUUGGACGAUGAGUGUAGACUCGACCACAGUUCUUGCACUUUAUAAUGUAAACUUCUUUAUUUUCUUCUACCGCAUUAAAGUGUUUUAAAAUAAAUGGGCGCAAUCUUGAAUCACUAGGCAUAAUUUAACCUGCAUUAAGAAUUUGAGUUUGUGAAAUGUGAGAUGAGUGAAGACUUGAAGACUUGAAUACUUCAAUUUGAGUUUGAGAAAUGAG